RNAcentral lists this ribosomal RNA (301 nucleotides) under uncultured bacterium. RNAcentral's name for it is "partial 16S ribosomal RNA". It matches the Rfam family "Bacterial small subunit ribosomal RNA", at positions 509 to 809 of the family's 1533-position model. The record is from RNAcentral.
CAGCCGCCGCGGUAAUACGAAGGGGGCUAGCGUUGCUCGGAAUGACUGGGCGUAAAGGGCGCGUAGGCGGUCACGAUAGUCAGAUGUGAAAUUCCUGGGCUUAACCUGGGGACUGCAUUUGAUACUGUGUGGCUUGAGUGUGGAAGAGGGUCGUGGAAUUCCCAGUGUAGAGGUGAAAUUCGUAGAUAUUGGGAAGAACACCGGUGGCGAAGGCGGCGACCUGGUCCAUAACUGACGCUGAGGCGCGAAAGCGUGGGGAGCAAACAGGAUUAGAUACCCCAGUAGUCCCUGUCUCUUAUAA